GAUCAUGGCUCAGGAUGAACGCUGGCGGCGUGCCUAACACAUGCAAGUCGAGCGAGAAACUUUUAAAUGAAACUUCGGUAGAUUUUAAAAGCGGAAAGCGGCGGACGGGUGAGUAACGCGUAGGCAACCUGCCCUUUGCAGAGGGAUAGCACCUGGAAACGGAUAUUAAUACCUCAUAAUACUAAACUAUCACAUGAUAGAGUAGUCAAAGAUUUAUCGGCAAAGGAUGGGCCUGCGUCUGAUUAG
RNAcentral lists this ribosomal RNA (246 nucleotides) under uncultured bacterium. RNAcentral describes it as "partial 16S ribosomal RNA". It matches the Rfam family "Bacterial small subunit ribosomal RNA", at positions 15 to 244 of the family's 1533-position model. The record is from RNAcentral.